GGUCCCGUAGCUCAGACGGAUAGAGCGAUCGCCUCCUAAGUGAUAGGCAACAGGUUCGACUCCUGUCGGGACCACCA
This 77-nucleotide transfer RNA is filed under the name bacterium. Its description in RNAcentral is "tRNA-Arg". It matches the Rfam family "tRNA". Rfam says of the family: Transfer RNA (tRNA) molecules are approximately 80 nucleotides in length. Their secondary structure includes four short double-helical elements and three loops (D, anti-codon, and T loops). The record is from RNAcentral.